This 253-nucleotide ribosomal RNA is filed under the name uncultured bacterium. Its description in RNAcentral is "partial 16S ribosomal RNA". It matches the Rfam family "Bacterial small subunit ribosomal RNA", at positions 524 to 776 of the family's 1533-position model. The record is from RNAcentral.
UACGAAUGGGGGAAGCGUUGUUCGGAAUCACUGGGCUUAAAGCGUGCGCAGGCGGUCUUGAAAGUCAGAAGUGAAAGCCCCGGGCUUAACCCGGGAAUUGCUUUUGAAACUCCAAGACUAGAAUCCUGGAGAGGUCGGGGGAAUUCCGAGUGUAGAGGUGAAAUUCGCAGAUAUUCGGAGGAACACCAGUGGCGUAGGCGCCCGACUGGACAGGUAUUGACGCUCAGGCACGAAAGCGUGGGUAGCAAACAGG